This 465-nucleotide ribosomal RNA is filed under the name uncultured bacterium. RNAcentral's name for it is "partial 16S ribosomal RNA". It matches the Rfam family "Bacterial small subunit ribosomal RNA", at positions 28 to 507 of the family's 1533-position model. The record is from RNAcentral.
GAUGAACGCUGGCGGCGUGCUUAACACAUGCAAGUCGAACGGAAAGGCUCCUGCUUGCAUGGGUACUCGAUUGGCGAACGGGGGAGUAACACGUGGGUGAUCUGCACUGCACUUCGGGGUAAGCCUGGGAAACAGGGGCGAAAACCGGAUAGGACGAUGGGAUGGAUGCGGUUGUGGAAAGUUUUUCGGUGUGGGAUGAGCUCGCGGACGAUCAGCUUGUUGGUGGGGUAAUUGCCUACGAAGGCGUCGACGGGUAGCCGGCCGGAGAGCGGGUAUGGGCACAUUGGGACUGCGAGACGGCCCAGACUCCUACGGGAGGCAGCAGUGGGGAAUAUUGCACAAUGGGCGCGAGUCUGAUGCAGCGACGCCGCGUGGGUGAUGACGGCCUUCGGGUUGUAAACACCUUUCGCUAGAGACGAAGCGAAAGUGACGGUACCUGGAGAAGAAGCACCGGCUAACUACGUG